This 638-nucleotide ribosomal RNA is filed under the name uncultured Lachnospiraceae bacterium. RNAcentral's name for it is "bacterial SSU rRNA". It matches the Rfam family "Bacterial small subunit ribosomal RNA", at positions 75 to 721 of the family's 1533-position model. Lineage: Bacteria; Bacillati; Bacillota; Clostridia; Lachnospirales; Lachnospiraceae. The record is from RNAcentral.
AUUUCUUCGGAUUGAAGCCUUGGUGACUGAGCGGCGGACGGGUGAGUAACGCGUGGGUAACCUGCCUCAUACAGGGGGAUAACAGUUGGAAACGGCUGCUAAUACCGCAUAAGCGCACAGUACCGCAUGGUACGGUGUGAAAAACUCCGGUGGUAUGAGAUGGACCCGCGUCUGAUUAGGUAGUUGGUGGGGUAACGGCCUACCAAGCCGACGAUCAGUAGCCGACCUGAGAGGGUGACCGGCCACAUUGGGACUGAGACACGGCCCAAACUCCUACGGGAGGCAGCAGUGGGGAAUAUUGCACAAUGGGGGAAACCCUGAUGCAGCGACGCCGCGUGAGCGAUGAAGUAUUUCGGUAUGUAAAGCUCUAUCAGCAGGGAAGAAAAUGACGGUACCUGACUAAGAAGCCCCGGCUAACUACGUGCCAGCAGCCGCGGUAAUACGUAGGGGGCAAGCGUUAUCCGGAUUUACUGGGUGUAAAGGGAGCGUAGACGGCAUGGCAAGCCAGAUGUGAAAGCCCGGGGCUCAACCCCGGGACUGCAUUUGGAACUGUCAGGCUAGAGUGUCGGAGAGGAAAGCGGAAUUCCUAGUGUAGCGGUGAAAUGCGUAGAUAUUAGGAGGAACACCAGUGGCGAAGG